Molecule: long non-coding RNA, 1031 nt
Organism: Peromyscus eremicus (cactus mouse)
Lineage: Eukaryota; Metazoa; Chordata; Mammalia; Rodentia; Cricetidae
Exons: 4
Source: RefSeq, a predicted model, not a curated record
GAUGUGAGUGAGCUCUCAACUGCUUCCAUGCCAUGCCUACCUGGCUGAUACUGUGUUGUUGUAUUCCCAUCUUGAUGGUGAUGGAUUCUUACCCAUUUGGAACCAUCAUUUCAAAAUAAACCAUCCCUUCUCUUGGAUACUCACAACACCAGGGAGGCUACCUGAAAAACAGGACCCCAAGAAAGACAUGGGGAUCACCCAAUGACGGAAAAAUGGAUGAGAUCUACAUGAACAGCCUGGACGUGAGUGGGGGUAAUGAAGGGCAAGGGUCAAGGGAAAGAGAGCUUGGGGGAGCAGGAGAUCCCACCUGGAUCAAGUCAAUUUCUAAGCAAGGAAAUGUUAUCUGAAGAAAUGUAAUAACAUCUGCAAUUCUGCUUAUUCACAUCACUGCAUGACCUCCUUUCAGUUACUUUUCCUUCAUAUAGACAGUCUCAAUAUACAGGGCCAGAGGAUGGUGUAUUCAGAAACUGUUGUUAACAUCAAACAAGCAAGAAUGCCAGAGUGUGACAGUAACACAGCCAGCAAAGAUAAAGACCAUGACAAUGGACAAAAUGAAUGAGGGCAAAAAUACUACAUAAAACACAAAACAACUUCAUCAAUUACUACGGAUUCUGCCUCACAUGAUUCUGCUGUUUGUCUGCAUUACAGGAUGAUAUCACUCUCACUCCUGCACAGCAUUUUCCUGCAAUGUGACUCAGUUCUUAAGAUGUUCCUGUGAGGAAUUCUUCCCACCUGUGCUUCUCCAUUGUGCUAAUGGGGAUUUUCAAGCCCAUCCCUCAGCACUCAAUUCUGUCACUGGGAAUAAUAGAAACACAAACAAAACUGGAAAUUGCAUUUGAUGACAUUCUUAAAUAUGAAAUAAUUAGAAGCUUUAUUGUCAUCCAGGCUCUAGUUACUGAAUUUACCAAGAGAAAAAUUUAAGCAUUUUAGAGAGGAUGUAUCUGACAGAUAUUGGCCGUGCUGAUUUUUGCACACCUGUCUUAAAAUUGGAAAAAAAAAGCUUGCUAAAAAUUAAAAGAACUUGCUUUUCA